AGUGAACGCUGGCGGUAGGCCUAACACAUGCAAGUCGAACGGCAGCACAGGAAGAGCUUGCUCUUACGGGUGGCGAGUGGCGGACGGGUGAGGAAAACAUCCGAAUCUACUUUUUCGUGGGGGGGAACGUAGGGAAACUUACGCUAAUACCGCAUACGACCUACGGGUGAAAGCAGGGGAUCUUCGGACCUUGCGCGAUUGAAUGAGCCGAUGUCGGAUUAGCUAGUUGGCGGGGUAAAGGCCCACCAAGGCGACGAUCCGUAGCUGGUCUGAGAGGAUGAUCAGCCACACUGGAACUGAGACACGGUCCAGACUCCUACGGGAGGCAGCAGUGGGGAAUAUUGGACAAUGGGCGCAAGCCUGAUCCAGCCAUACCGCGUGGGUGAAGAAGGCCUUCGGGUUGUAAAGCCCUUUUGUUGGGAAAGAAAAGCAGCAGGUUAAUACCCCGCUGUUCUGACGGUACCCAAAGAAUAAGCACCGGCUAACUUCGUG
This 492-nucleotide ribosomal RNA is filed under the name uncultured bacterium. Its description in RNAcentral is "partial 16S ribosomal RNA". It matches the Rfam family "Bacterial small subunit ribosomal RNA", at positions 29 to 507 of the family's 1533-position model. The record is from RNAcentral.